GUGCUAAACCCGGCACAUAUACUAAAAUUGGGACGAUACAGAGAGAUUAGCAUGGCCCCUGCGCAAGGAUGACCGCAAAUUAGUAGGCGUUCCAUAUUUUU
RNAcentral lists this small nuclear RNA (101 nucleotides) under Bos grunniens (domestic yak). Lineage: Eukaryota; Metazoa; Chordata; Mammalia; Artiodactyla; Bovidae. The record is from RNAcentral.